Molecule: ribosomal RNA, 389 nt
Filed under: uncultured bacterium
Lineage: Bacteria
Description: bacterial SSU rRNA
Rfam family: Bacterial small subunit ribosomal RNA
Source: RNAcentral
AUUGAACGCUGGCGGCAUGCCUUACACAUGCAAGUCGAACGGCAGCACGGGAGCUUGCUCCUGGUGGCGAGUGGCGAACGGGUGAGUAAUAUAUCGGAACGUACCCUAGAGUGGGGAUAACGCAGCGAAAGUUGCGCUAAUACCGCAUACGAUCUACGGAUGAAAGUGGGGGAUCGCAAGACCUCAUGCUCAUGGAGCGGCCGAUAUCUGAUUAGCUAGUUGGUGGGGUAAAGGCCUACCAAGGCAUCGAUCAGUAGCUGGUCUGAGAGGACGACCAGCCACACUGGAACUGAGACACGGUCCAGACUCCUACGGGAGGCAGCAGUGGGGAAUUUUGGACAAUGGGGGCAACCCUGAUCCAGCAAUGCCGCGUGAGUGAAGAAGGCCUU